CUCUCUCCCGGGCCGGGGAGGAGCCGCCCCGCCGCCUCCCCAGCGCGGCCAACCCCCGGCUGGCCCAGCCCCCGCCCCGGGCCGGCCAUAGGGCGCUGGGGGGGCGGGGGAGACCGGGGGCGCGGCUUUGUGGCGGCAGCGGACCGUGGAGGCCGGGUGCAGCCCCGUCGGCUGCGCGCUCUCUGCAGAAAAGGAUUUUCUACGCUCCCCGCCCAUCACUUGGAUCUCGUCUGGGGAGGGGCGGAUUUUUUUUCUGGAAGUACCCAGCUUUCCACAGUGGAGGAUUUAAGGCUGGGCUCGAAUCGAGGCGGAGGCUGCAGGGCCCGCGGGGCGCCCCCCGCCCGGCGCAAGCCUGCCAGGAGCCUGGGAAGGCGCAGCCCGGGGGGAGGGGGACCCUGCACCCCCGGAGGCUGACACCUCCCGUGCCAAGUUUCCAGGGGAAACAACAUUCUACUGUGAGAUUAUAAACCACUAGAGAAAAGACGAGAAUGGAAAAGCCGCCGAGAAUCAGCUCUACAUGCCCAGAACUGGGCUGCUAAGAGAUGUGAAGCCACGAGACGUUCGGUAAUCUUCUACAGCAGUGCUGUCCAAGACAGUAGCUAUUAUGGCCCCUUGUGACUACUGGUGUGUAAAUUAGUUAAAAUUAAAUAAAUUUUAAAGUUUACUCCCUAGGCUGCGCUAGCAAUGAGUUCAAGUGCCCGACAGUCCUGUGUGGCUGAAGGUUACCACGCUGGACAGUGCGGAUAUAGACCAUUUGAAGGCUGUACAAGUGCUGCCGAUUAGCACUAAUUCAGAUAUCCUUUCUUUGAGAUGGAGUCUCGUUCUGUCGUCCAGGCUGGAGUACAAUGGCACAAUCUCAACUCACUACAACCUCUGCCUCCUGGAUUCAAGCGAUUCUCCUGCCUCAGCCUCCUGAGUAGCUGGGACUACAGGUGCAUGCCACCACGCCCAGCUAAUUUUUGUAUUUUUAAUAGAGAUUCACUGGCCAGGCUGGUCUCAAACUCCUGACCUCAGAGGAUCUAUCUGCUUCAACUUCCCAAAGUGCUGGGAUUAUAGGCGUGAGCCCACGCCCGUCAGGUUCAGAUUUCAUAGCUAGAACCUGGCAGUGCCAGAAUUCAAGCUUACGUUAAUGGGCUUUGAAGACAGAAUUCAUCUGCUAGGCCAAGAACCAAGGAACAGAGCAGGAUUCUAACCCCUACCUACACAGUAGAAUUAUCUGCAAUUCUUUUUUUUUUUUGGAGACAGAGUCUAGCUCCAUUACCCAGGCUGGAGUGCAGUGGCUCGAUCUCAGCUCAAUGCAACCUCUACCUUCUGGGUUCAAGUGAUUCUCCUGUCCCAGCCUCCCAAGUAGCUGGGAUUUUAGGUGCCUGCCACCAUGCCCAGCUAAUUUUUGUAUCUUUAGUAGAGACAGUGUUUUGCCAGGUUGGCCAGGCUGGUCUCAAACUCCUUACCCCAGGUGAUCUGCCUGCCUUGACCUCCCAAAGUGCUGGAAUUACAGGCGUGAGCCACCAUGCCUGGCCUACCUGCAAUUCUUUAAAAAAAAAGAAUGACGGUAGUGUCCCAGGCCCAGAGAAUCUGACUUCACUGUGAUUAAGGUGGGUGGGGACAGGCAUCAGAGAGUUUUUAUACUUCCCCAUGUGAUGCCACUGUGCGGCCAGGAUGGUGAGCAGCGAGGUGUGAGGACCCACACAGAGGACACUGGAAGCAGCUGGUUCAUCUACUAUGAGAACGCAGAUACCCAUGUAAGAUCACAGAAACAAGGUGAAAAACCUGUAGCCCCAAAUUGGAAUUGGAAACAUCAGUACGAAUUUGUGCUAUAUUUUUGUCUUACAAAGUAAAGCAGGUGUUUGCUAGCUCUGUCCACAGCAAAGUUUAGAAGUAAUGAGCCAUCCAGUAGCAGUGAACACCUAGCAGCCAGGUUAUGGUCUCUAAAUACCACUUCAAACUAGAGAGGGCAUGGAGACAUGAUCAAUUCUAGGUCAGAGGCAAGAAAAAAAGUAAACGGGAGCAUGGAACAUCUGGUCAUUCCUUGCUUCCUUCAUAGCAAGAAAGCUGUCAAUGAUCUUCAGCGUCAUAUUGAGAAGGAUGCAGGAGACAAUGUGGAGAGACUCCCAAGGGAAGCAUUUGAGCAUCAUUAAGAAUAAUGACUGUUGGUCAUGUGCGGUGACUCACGCCUGUAAUCCCAGCACUUUGGGAAGCCAAGGUGGGCAGAUCACUUGAAGUCAGGAGUUCGAGACCAGCCUGACCAAUAUAGUGAAACCAUGUCUCUACCAAAAAUACAAAAAAUUAGCCAUGUGUGGUGGUGUGCACAUAUAAUCCCAGCUACUUGGGAAGCUGAGGCAGGAGAAUCGCUUGAACCUGAAAGGCAGAAGUUGCAGUGAGCCAGGAUUGUGCUACUUCACUCCAGCCUGAGUGACAGAGUGAGACUCUUUGUCUCAAAAAAAAAAAAAAAAAAGAAUAAUGACUGUAAUGGAUUGAAACAUGUCCAAAUCUAGGAGUUGACAAUGAUACUUUAAAAGAGCUGGGCAUGGUGGCUCAGGCCUGUAAUCCCAGCACUUUGGGAGGCCGAGGAGGGAGGAUCACAAGAUUAAGAGAUCAAGACCAUCCCGGCCAACAUGGUGAAACACCGUUUCUACUACAAAUACAAAAAUUAGCGGGGCAUGGUGGUGCACAGCUGUAGUCUCAGCUACUUGGGAGGCUAAGGCACUAGAAUUGCUUGAACCCAGGAGGCAGAGGUUGUAGUGAGCCAAGGACAUGCCACUGCACUCCAGCCAGGUGACAGAGUGAGACUCUUUGUCUCAAAAAAAGAAAAGAAAAGAAAAGAAAAAUUCAUUUGUCACCUUUGGAGGAUAUUGGAAAACCAACUCAUUUUGAAAACUGUCAAAGAAAGGGAAAGAAACAUUUAUCCUUUCUGGUACAAACCAUUCUUUUUGGCAGCCAAAUCGUUGAGAAGUUUAUAUCUUUUAUAGACCUAUUUCUAUUACCAAAGACAGAAUCAUAGAAUCAGUAUGCCACCAUGUUGUAAUCUCUAAUGAAAUAAUGCGCCAGGUGUCGUGGCUCAUGCUUGCAAUCCCAGCACUUUCAGAGGUCGAGGUGGAGGACUGCUUGAGGCCAGAAGUUCAAGACAGGCCUGGGCAACAUAACAAGACCCUGUCUCUGCAAAAAGAAAAAAAAAAUUAUCCAGAUAUGGCCAUGUACCUGCAGUCCCAGCUAAGGUGGGAGGAUCCCUUGAGCCCGGGAGGUCAAGGCCACAGAGAGCUAUGAUUGUACCACUGCACUCUAACCUAGGUGACAAGAACAAGACCUCAAAAAAAAGAAAGAAACUGCAGAGCUAGACAAUGAUCAUCAACAAUAGCUGCUAACAUCACAAAGAGGAACAACCAGAUAUUAUGUGCCUUUGAACGGAAGCACAUAACCCCCAACAGGAAGUAGUCAUACCAAAAAAAAAAAAAAAAAUCAAACAUUGAUCUAAGUGAGCUUCUACAGACUCACUUCUAGACCUAACUACUAAUUUCUAAGAAAUAUAGCGGGAAGAGGAACACAUAACAUUUCUAUGGAGAUGCUAUAACCAAGGUUCAGACCACAGGAAACCAACAGAACGACAGUACUGCGUCCACCUACUGCUGGCAUCUCUGGGACAAGCCUGAGUAGUAGUAGGCUUGAGAUAGAUCUUCACACAUCCCACCCCCGUCUCCAUGGUAACCAGUGGGGAGGAAAAGGCGCAUCCACAAAGUUCUGGUCCCCAUAAGGGUGAGGCCAGGCCUCCAAUGUCCUGUGCCAGGCCCUGUGCUGCUGCUGUCUUGGGAGAACUCCCAUAAGAGCUGCCUCCCUCCAUCCCUUCCCCAUCACCCCGGCCCUCCCUCUGUGCCCCCUGAAGCAGCAGGGCCAGUCAGUGGAGAGAAUAGGACCCUGAAUCAGAUCCAGGUUCAAAUUCUGACUUCACCACUUAAUUGCAGGAUCAGUAACCUCCCUGAGCCUCAUUUUUUCAUCUAUAAAAUGGGCAUACAGUUUUAUUUAAUGUUAAAAGAAAGAAAGGGGCUGGGCGUGGUGGCUCAAGCCUGUAAUCCCAGCACUUUGGGAGGCCAAGGCGGGUGGAUCAUGAGAUCAAGAGAUCGAGACCAUCCUGGUCAACAUAGUGAAACCCCGUCUCUACUAAAAAUACAAAAAAAUUAGCUGGGCAUGGUGGCGCGUGCCUGUAAUCCCAGCUACUCAGGAGGCUGAGGCAGGAGAAUUGCCUGAACCCAGGAGGCGGAGGUUGCGGUGAGCCAAGAUUGAGCCAUUGCACUCCAGCCUGGGUAACAAGAGUGAAACUUUGUCUCAAAAAAAAAAAAAAGAAAAAAAGGGCAGGGGGGCUGGGCAUGGUGGCUCAUUCCUAUAAUGUCAGCACUUUGGGAGGCUGAAGCAGGAGGAUCGCUUGAGCCCAGGAGUUUUAGACCAGCCUGGACAACAUAGUGAGACCUCAUCUCUACAAAAAAUUUUUUAAAAAUAGGCCAGGUGCUGUGGCUCAUGCCUGUAAUCCCAGCUGAGAUGGGCAGACUGCUUAAGCUCAGGAGUUCAAGACCGCCUGGGCAACAGGGCAAAGCCUUGUGUCUACUAAAAAUACAAAAACUAGUGGGGAAUGGGGGUGCAUGCCUGUAGUCCCAGCUGCUCGGGAGACUAAGGUAGGAGGAUCACCUGAACCCUGGAGGUCGAGGCUGCAGUGAACUGUGAUUGCACCACAGCACUCCAGCCUGGAGGACAGAUGAGACCCUGUUUCAAAAUAAGAUAAUAAAAAGAAUAUAUAAGGAGGGCGUAAUGUGACCUUUGUUCAGUUAGUUGCUCAACAAAUCUUUAUUAUGAAUGGACAGUGACAAAAAAGGAUCUAAUCUCCAACUCAUGGAACUCGACUCAGGGGUGAAAAGCAGUCUCCAUAGAGCGAAGUGCUGUGACAACAUCCAUGUAUGUCAGGAUGCUUACCCAUAGCCCACUUUUUAAAACAAUUGGCAGUCGAAACUCCCAGUCAUACUUUUCAUUACCCAGAACAUCCAUACCUUCCAACUACUGAGUAUCUAGCUAUGGCAAACACACAGGAUCAUUUCAUUUAGUGUUCACAUUGAUUGAUUGAUUGAGAUGGAGUCUUUCUGUGCUGCCCAGGCUGGAGUGCAGUGGCAUGAUCUCAACUCACUGCAACCUCUGUCUCCCAUCAAGUGAUUCUCCUAACUCGGCCUUCUGAGUAGCUAGGAUUAAAGGAACACACCACCAUGCCCAGCUAAAUUUUGUAUUUUUUUUUUUUUUUUUUGAGAUGGAGUUUCGCUGUUGUUACCCAGACUGGAGUGCAAUGGCACGAUCUCGGCUUACCGCAACCUCUGCCUCUUGGGUUCAGGCAAUUCUCCUCCCUCAGCCUCCUGAGUAGUUGGGAUUACAGGCGCACACCACCAUGCCCAGCUAAUUUUUGUAUUUUUAGUAGAGACGGGGUUUCACCUUGUUGACCAGGAUGGUCUCGAUCUCUUGACCUCGUGAUCCACCUGCCUUGGCCUCCCAAAGUGCUGGGAUUAUAGGCGUGAGCCACCAUGCCCGGCCAACUUUUUUAUUUUUAGUAGAGACGAGGUUUCACCAUGUUGGCCAGGCUGGUCUCAAACUCCUGGCCUCAAGUGAUCCUUCCACCUUGGCCUCUCAAAGUCCUGCGAUUACAGGCGUGGGCCACUGCACCUGGACUAGUGCUUACAUUUCUAUGAGCUAAGUCAUGUUAUUUCCAUCUUGUGGAGGAAGAAGCUUAGACACAAGUGAGAUAGGUUGCCCAAGGCCACACUACUGGUAUGAGGCCCCUGUCUUCUGUGCUCAGCGCUCUGUGCACUGAUGAAGCUUUGAAAUGCCAAAGCAGGGCUCAGAAAUCAGUGCUGCCAGGAGACUGAAAAGCUCUCCAGACCAUUUUCCAGAUGAAGAAACAGUGGCCCAGAGAGGCCAAGUAACUUGACUGGGGCCACAUCGCAAAUUGCUGGCUAAGCCUGUCUGUGCUCAUGCUGCUUGGGGAGAUGGUGCAGGGAAGCCCUAUUCGGGUCCAUGUAAUGAAUACUGUCCCAAAGCAGGGUGGCCAGCCAUCCCUUGUGCCUAGGACUAGGAGGUUUUUGGGACUGGAGACAUGAGGUGCUAAAACCAGGAAAACCUUGGGCCAACUGGGAUUAGCUGGGCAUUCCACCCCACAGACAAUAAGGUGUCUAAAUUGUCAUUUCCAGGAAAUGAGGCUUUGGGAUGAAGCUGGCUGACAACAACCAUCAAGACCCCAUUGAAGGACUAGGGUUUUGUGUCUCCGAUACCCUGGAGGUUCCGCCCACAUGUCAUCUCAGUGGCCUCUGCAGGGGUCCAUGGCUUGGCAUCCUAUUCUACCCCCAAAGCAACUUAAGUGCUAGAAAUCAUAAACCUAAUUGUCCCAUGCCCCAGUAUGCAAACCUAAAUGGUUUCUCAUUUUCCCCCCGUUGCCUUAGGACAAACUAUAUAAACUUUGCUGGCCCAGGAGACCCUUGGUGCACUUGCCUCUGUACACCUGGUCCAGUCUCUCUCUGCAAUCCACCCCACCUCACCCCUACGAAAUUCUAAGCAAGGACAAGAUAAGAUUUCUCACUGCACCCUCCCUUCACCCACGUAACCCUUUUCUUAGCAUCCCACCCUUUCUUCUGUGACAUCAGUGCAAAUGUAAUCACACAGCUAUUUGUAUAAUUAGCUGAUUAUUAAUAUCUAGCCUCCCCCCCCCCCGGCUAGACUGUCAGCCCACAGGGGCAGGGGUGGGUGUGUGACGUUCACUGUUUUGUAGCCUGUCUCAGUGGAGACACAUGAAUGACACUCAAAAGUCAUUGAAUGGACCAGGCAUGUGGCUCACACUUGUAAUCCCAGCACUUUGGAAGGCCGAGGCAGGUGGAUCAUCUGAGGUCAUGAGUUUGAGACCAGUCUGACCAACAUAGCAAAACCCUGUUUCUACUAAAAAUACAAAAAAUUAGCUGGAUGUGGUGGUGCAUGCCUGCAGUCCCAGCUACUGGGGAGGCUGAGGCUGCAGUGAGCUCAGAUUGUGCUACUGCACUCCAGCUUGGGUGACAGAGCGAAUCUCCAUCUUAAAAAAAAAAAAAUGGGGAGGGUGGGGGGAAGUCACUGAAUGGUCCCACAAAAAAACUGCUAUCAUCUCCGACUGUGCCUCCUUCUGAAAUCACAGAAACCCUCUAUAGCCAUCUGGAUCUCCACUUCCCAUUUCAGUCAGGCUGCUAUCCAUGAUGUCGCAGGAUGGAAGAUGACCCCAGAAAAAGACUGGCAAAGAGACAGGCUCCUGAAGGAGGACGUGGCAGGCAGGACUGGUGUGUUUUCAAUUAUUCUACCUGUUCCGACCACACUUUCCUAGUUCUGCUCACACCCCUGCUUCAGCAGUAGCUGAGGACGACAGAAAAACAUCAGCCCCAGAGUCUGAGACAAGAUAUGUCACUGGUUCCCUCUUUGCUGGUAAUUAAUGCUGAAAAGUUUCAUUACUUACCUUGGCAGCAAAGGUACUAAUACAAACGCACAGCCUGAUUAUUUGGCUGCUAACUCCCUUCUUGGUGUUUUCCUUCUCCUUUCCUUAAAUUAAUUCCAGAGUUCUUCCAGAUUUCUCGUUGCUAAGCUAUAAAGUUCCAGGUUUCCGCAGCAUGGCUGCUAACUGGCAGGGAGCUCCCAGGCAGCUCCAAUCAGAACCAGGUUGUUGAAAGGAGCGUCCACACUACAGCUCGCUCAGAGGUUUUGGAAUGUUCUCGCUGACGUUAUGAACCGCAAAGGUCUUUGCGUAACUCUGCAGAACCUGUUUUCUUGAUUUGGCUGUUGGGGGACACCAGAGGCCUUGGAAUUUCCCUAGGAGGCAUGGGGAGUCCCUGGGUCUCCUGGUUAGGAUCAGUGACAGGGAUGCUCAGAGCCCAUUCAUGCUGGCCACAGACAAUGUGAUCCCUAAAACUGUUGCAGAAAAGGUCCCUCAAGUCCCCCAGGACUGACCUCUUCCACCCAUCUCCCAAGCAUGCUGACAGACUAUCUGGAGGAGGCUGAGGACAUCUCUGAACUUGGGAUUUUGGGGUGAAGGCCACAUUUGUAAAGGACUUUAAACAACCAAACGGAGGGCCAUUUGGUGACCUGAUACCUCCAGAAUCAUAAUGAAAACCAUCACUAUGAAUUGAGUUUCUACUGUACGCCACAAACCACAUUUCCACAUGUUCCCAACCGAAACUCCCAUCGGACCGGCUGGGAACCUGUCAGCAGCUGCACUGUUGGUUCUACUUGUCUGCGGCCAUCUUCCAGGAGCAGAAAGUCAUGUGACCCAGGCCUGGCUACUGUGAUUGGCUCUGUGAUGAGCACCUGACCAAGCUGAGCCAAUCAGAAUCUUCUCAAGACUCCUGCUAGAUAAGAAAAGACUCCCCAGCCCCACCAUUGCUGAGCUGGUGCCCACUGGGAACACACAUGGACGGUGCCAGAGAAAUAUAAGAAGCCCUCCAAGAUACGGAGCCCCUGUGACAAUGCUUAAGCCUCAGAUGCAGCUCUAGGGAAGCCAGAUCUACUUCCUGGAUUUGACAGUUACCGGAAUAGUAAAUUCUUUUUUUGCUUAAGCCA
Callithrix jacchus (white-tufted-ear marmoset) is the source of this 8589-nucleotide non-coding RNA. Lineage: Eukaryota; Metazoa; Chordata; Mammalia; Primates; Cebidae. The record is from RefSeq and is a predicted model, not a curated record.